This 424-nucleotide ribosomal RNA is filed under the name uncultured Acetanaerobacterium sp. RNAcentral describes it as "bacterial SSU rRNA". It matches the Rfam family "Bacterial small subunit ribosomal RNA", at positions 355 to 794 of the family's 1533-position model. The record is from RNAcentral. Lineage: Bacteria; Bacillati; Bacillota; Clostridia; Eubacteriales; Oscillospiraceae.
UGGGGGAUAUUGCACAAUGGGGGAAACCCUGAUGCAGCGACGCCGCGUGAGGGAAGACGGUCCUCUGGAUUGUAAACCUCUGUCUUCGGGGACGAAACGAGACGGUACCCGAGGAGGAAGCCACGGCUAACUACGUGCCAGCAGCCGCGGUAAUACGUAGGUGGCAAGCGUUAUCCGGAAUUACUGGGUGUAAAGGGAGCGCAGGCGGGAUAGCAAGUCAGCGGUGAAAUGCAUGGGCUUAACUCAUGAGCUGCCGUUGAAACUGUUAUUCUUGAGUGGAGUAGAGGCAGGCGGAAUUCCGAGUGUAGCGGUGAAAUGCGUAGAUAUUCGGAGGAACACCAGUGGCGAAGGCGGCCUGCUGGGCUCUAACUGACGCUGAGGCUCGAAAGUGUGGGGAGCAAACAGGAUUAGAUACCCUGGUAGU